Molecule: long non-coding RNA, 1132 nt
Organism: Pan troglodytes (chimpanzee)
Lineage: Eukaryota; Metazoa; Chordata; Mammalia; Primates; Hominidae
Exons: 4
Source: RefSeq, a predicted model, not a curated record
GAGUCAAGGUUUAGGGCCCAAGGCUGCAGGAAGACAUGGUGAAAUGUUUAGCCAGAAUAACUGAAAACAAUGUCAUUAAGAAUAAAAAGUAAAAAUUGCGAUCAAGAAAAAAAGCAGAAACCAGACCUAGAGAAGCAGUUGCAAACCUCAGGUUUUAGAAGAGAUACAUGUCUGAAGAAAUAAGUAAGUUGAGAGGUCAAAUGCCUGGGCUGUCAAGAACAGAUCUGGGAGCAGAGGGUAAGAUAGGUCAGCUGGGGGAGGAGCCAAGAUGGCCGAAUAGGAACAGCUCCGGUCUACAGCUCCCAGCGUGAGCGACGCAGAAGACGGGUGAUUUCUGCAUUUCCAUCUGAGGAUGAUUAACAGCAUUCAAGGUGGUGGCUACACAUCACAUCAGCCUGGAUUCUCAAGUAGGAAGAUAUGCAACAGAGCAUCCAGCUGACCUUCACUGGAUAUGUUCCCUCUAAAGACCCCAGGCAUGCAGCAAUAUGGUGGGGAUGCAUACUACAGCUGAGCUCUGGACAGGAGGUUUUCCAUUUUAUAAGAAACUCAAACCACCAAGAAAACCAGCUUAUCCCACAAAAUAUUUUUACACUUCUCUAGAACUCAGUAAGAGGCCCUCAAUGGAUUGGAUGAUGCCUGUCCACGGUCCACAUCGGUGAGGGUGAUUGUCUUUACUCAGCCUAUUGAUUCAAACACUAAUCUCUUCUGGAAACACUCUCAGACUCACCCAGAAGUAAUGUUUUGCCAGCCAUCGGAGCAUCCUCUGGCUUAGGCAAGUUAACACAUAGAAUUAACCAUCACAGAAGGCAACAGAAAAACCUUUAAAGAAUCAAUAGAAAAUAUGUGCAUCAGAAAAUAUUGCUGGCUUACCCAAAAGCUAUUUCCCUUUUGUUCCUUACUAACAACCCUUACUUUGUUUAUAUUUGAGGAAGUAAUGUACUCAAGGAAGUUUUGUCUCUAACCCAGCAUUCAAGGAUGCCAAGACAAUCACGUUAAUCCCAUUUCCUCUACCAGUGAUUGGUGUGGAGGUGGGCAUAUCACUGACUUCUAACCAAAAGGUCCUGAGGGGGACUUACUAAGAACUUUUCAGAAAGGUUUUUCUCCAUGAUUAAAAGAAAAAUUUUAAAGGAAA